Molecule: ribosomal RNA, 661 nt
Filed under: uncultured methanogenic archaeon
Lineage: Archaea; Methanobacteriati; Methanobacteriota
Description: bacterial SSU rRNA
Rfam family: Archaeal small subunit ribosomal RNA
Source: RNAcentral
CCCGAUGGCGAAGGACUUCCGACGGUUGCCAUGAGACGACCUGGGACGACGGAUGAUCCCGUAGUCUAGCGUAACUAGCGCGUUAGGAUGCCUGUACUACGAGUAACCGAGUGCGAGUGAAACGUGAACGUGCCGCCUGGGAGUACGUCGCAAGCUGAACUAAAAGAAUGCGGGGGAGCACACAACGGGUGGAGCCUGCGGUUUAAUUGGACUCAACGCCCGAGCAGCUCACCGGAUAGGACAGCGGAAUGAUAGCCGGGCUGAAGACCUUGCUUGACCAGCUGAGAGGAGGUGCAUGGCCGUCGUCAGUUCGUACUGUGAAGCAUCCCUGUUUAGUCAGGCAACGAGCGAGACCCACGCCAACAGUGAGAGAGGGGUCUUCCUCCCGCAAUGAUGAGGAAAACAGAUUGGGACCGCCCCUGCUAAAGAGGAGGAAGGAAUGAGAGAGAUGGGAGGAAAGCAUGCCCCGAAUUAUCCGGGCUACACGCGGGCUACAAUGGUCAGGACAAUGGGAAACGGCACUAAAAAAGUGUAGUCAAUCUCCUAAACCUGUCCCAAGUUCGGAUUGUGGGCUGCAACUCGCCCACAUGAAGCUGGAAUCCGUAGUAAUCGCGUUCAAAAUAGCGCGGAAAAUGGGACCCUGCUCCUGCACACACCGUAA